UGCAGUCGACGAUGCUUUCGGGCAUAGUGGCGCACGGGUGCGUAACGCGUGGGAAUCUGCCCUUGGGUUCGGGAUAACCGUUGGAAACGACGGCUAAUACCGGAUGAUGACGUAAGUCCAAAGAUUUAUCGCCCAGGGAUGAGCCCGCGUCCGAUUAGGUAGUUGGUGGGGUAAAGGCCUACCAAGCCGACGAUCGGUAGCUGGUCUGAGAGGAUGAUCAGCCACACUGGGACUGAGACACGGCCCAGACUCCUACGGGAGGCAGCAGUGGGGAAUAUUGGACAAUGGGCGAAAGCCUGAUCCAGCAAUGCCGCGUGAGUGAUGAAGGCCUUAGGGUUGUAAAGCUCUUUUACCCGGGAUGAUAAUGACAGUACCGGGAGAAUAAGCCCCGGCUAACUCCGUGCCAGCAGCCGCGGUAAUACGGAGGGGGCUAGCGUUGUUCGGAAUUACUGGGCGUAAAGCGCACGUAGGCGGCUUUGUAAGUUAGAGGUGAAAGCCUGGAGCUCAACUCCAGAACUGCCUUUAAGACUGCAUCGCUUGAAUCCAGGAGAGGUGAGUGGAAUUCCGAGUGUAGAGGUGAAAUUCGUAGAUAUUCGGAAGAACACCAGUGGCGAAGGCGGCUCACUGGACUGGUAUUGACGCUGAGGUGCGA
This 652-nucleotide ribosomal RNA is filed under the name uncultured bacterium. RNAcentral describes it as "bacterial SSU rRNA". It matches the Rfam family "Bacterial small subunit ribosomal RNA", at positions 56 to 756 of the family's 1533-position model. The record is from RNAcentral.